UCCCUACUUGCUGUAAGGCAGUCCCAUGUGAAUAUGUAACACAUAGCAGGGGUUGCGCUCGUUACGGCACUUAAGCCGAUAUCUCACGACACGAGCUGACGACAGCCAUGCAGCAGCUGUGUACCACCCUCGAAGGCGGCCUCUGUUUCCAGAAGCUUGCAGGUACAUGUCAAGCCCAGGUAAGGUCUUUCGCUUCGUAUCGAAUUAAACCACAUGCUCCACCGGUUGUGCGCUCCCCCGUCAAUUCCUUUGAGUUUUAGCCUUGCGGCCGUACUACCCAGGCGGAAUGCUUAACGCGUUAGCUUACGACAGCCAGUAAAAACCGGCCAUCUAGCAUUCAAAGUUUACAGUUAGGACUAC
Molecule: unclassified non-coding RNA, 360 nt
Filed under: uncultured bacterium
Lineage: Bacteria
Description: contains 16S-23S intergenic spacer region
Source: RNAcentral